Molecule: long non-coding RNA, 161 nt
Organism: Oenanthe melanoleuca
Lineage: Eukaryota; Metazoa; Chordata; Aves; Passeriformes; Muscicapidae
Exons: 3
Source: RefSeq, a predicted model, not a curated record
UGACCCAUUCGUGGCCUCCACCACUGUCAGCUAUUCACACACCAGGAAAGGCAGAACAAAGCAAGUUUCCCUUCCCAAACAAGGAGUCACAACAGGGAUCUACAGGACACAGCAAUACAAGGAAAAGUGAUGUAGAGCCAAAGAGCCCAGAGAAAAGCGCC